ACGGAGGGUGCAAGCGUUGUUCGGAAUUACUGGGCGUAAAGCGCGUGUAGGCGGACUCAGAAGUCGGGUGUGAAAGCCCCGGGCUUAACUCGGGAAGUGCGCUCGAAACCAUGGGUCUUGAGAACCGGAGGGGAUCGGGGAAUUCCCAGUGUGGGGGUGAAAGGCGUAGAUAUUGGGAGGAACUCCGAUGGCGAAGGUGCCGAUCUGGACGGUUUCCGACGCUGAGACGCGUAAGCGUGGCUAGCACACAG
This 251-nucleotide ribosomal RNA is filed under the name uncultured prokaryote. RNAcentral describes it as "partial 16S rRNA". It matches the Rfam family "Bacterial small subunit ribosomal RNA", at positions 525 to 775 of the family's 1533-position model. The record is from RNAcentral.